AGUGAACGCUGGCGGCAGGCCUAACACAUGCAAGUCGAGCGGCAGCGGGUUCCCGCGAGGGGAUGCCGGCGAGCGGCGGACGGGUGAGGAACACAUCGGAAUCUGCCUGGUUGUGGGGGAUAACGUAGGGAAACUUACGCUAAUACCGCAUGAGACCCUGAGUCGACGGACUGGGGGUGGAAAGUGAGGGACCUUCGGGCCUCACGCGACCAGAUGAGCCGAUGUCGGAUUAGCUAGUUGGCGGGGUAACGGCCCGCCAAGGCGACGAUCCGUAGCUGGUCUGAGAGGAUGAUCAGCCACACUGGGACUGAGACACGGCCCAGACUCCUACGGGGAGGCAGCAGUGGGGAAUCUUGGACAAU
RNAcentral lists this ribosomal RNA (362 nucleotides) under uncultured bacterium. RNAcentral describes it as "bacterial SSU rRNA". It matches the Rfam family "Bacterial small subunit ribosomal RNA", at positions 30 to 372 of the family's 1533-position model. The record is from RNAcentral.